This 497-nucleotide ribosomal RNA is filed under the name uncultured bacterium. RNAcentral's name for it is "partial 16S ribosomal RNA". It matches the Rfam family "Bacterial small subunit ribosomal RNA", at positions 28 to 507 of the family's 1533-position model. The record is from RNAcentral.
GAUGAACGCUGGCGGCGUGCCUAAUACAUGCAAGUCGAGCGAACGGACGAGAAACUUGCUUCUCUGGUGUUAGCGGCGGACGGGUGAGUAACACGUGGAUAACCUACCUAUAAGACUGGGAUAACUUCGGGAAACCGGAGCUAAUACCGCAUAAUAUUUUGAACCACAUGGUUCAAAAUUGAAAGACGCACUUGCUUUCACUUAUAGAUAGAUCCGCGCUGCAUUAGCUAGUUGGUAAGUUAACGGCUUACCAAGGCAACGAUGCAUAGCGGACCUGAGAGGGGGAUCGGCCACACUGGACCUGAGACCCGGCCCAGACUCCUACGGGAGGCAGCAGAAGGGAACCUUCCGCAAUGGGCGAAAGCUUGACGGAGAAACGCCGCGUGGGUGAGGAAGGUCUUCGGUUCGUAAACCUCUGUUGUUGGGGAAGAACAUAUGUGUAGGUAACUGCGCACAUCUUGACGGUACCUAAUCAGAAAGCCACGGCUAACUACGUG